Long non-coding RNA from Thalassophryne amazonica, 538 nucleotides. RefSeq lists it as uncharacterized. The transcript has 2 exons. NCBI's taxonomy places the organism in Eukaryota, Metazoa, Chordata, Actinopteri, Batrachoidiformes, Batrachoididae. The record is from RefSeq and is a predicted model, not a curated record.
AAAAAAAGCUCGCCAGCUCAAUAAAUUGAGGCUUUGGCGAUGGCAUUUUAAACAGUACAACAGCAAAUGAAUAAAAUUAAUUAGCAAUUUAGCACAGAGGAAAUGUGGUUAUGCAUGAUUAACUCUUCAUGACUAUAACCGGUAUAUAUGGCUCUCAGCAACACGGCCUAAUGACAUGAAAUUAAACUGCAAGAGAGGCAUUGACAUGAUGACGUGGAGCGGAGGUGAAAUGAUCUUUGUUUUGUGCACCUGAAGGAGGAGAGGAAUGUGAAAUGUGGAGAUAUUGAUCCAUUGACGGGAAGGAAAAGAAAAGCUGGCGUGGCAGCUCAUGAGUCAAAGGCAAUGGUUAUGCAGUACCCCUAACUACAAAUAGGUGGCAGAUGUUUCAUUGACAUGUUGGUAGAAAGCGAACUUUAUCCCUACCUGUUGAGGUGGUACCAGAAGUGGUCAUUGAUUGGCUGUUCAUAUGUGCCUGCAUAUGAGGGGGUGUGUAUGUUUCGUAGCUCCGCCCAUUCACAGGCGGACUUGUAGGCAGCAU